CAUGAAGCUGGAAUCGCUAGUAAUCGCGGAUCAGAAUGCCGCGGUGAAUACGUUCCCGGGUCUUGUACACACCGCCCGUCACACCAUGGGAGUCGGAAAUGCCCGAAGUCAGUGACCCAACCGAGAGGAGGGAGCUGCCGAAGGCAGGUCUGGUAACUGGGGUGAAGUCGUAACAAGGUACC
RNAcentral lists this ribosomal RNA (182 nucleotides) under uncultured bacterium. RNAcentral describes it as "partial 16S ribosomal RNA". It matches the Rfam family "Bacterial small subunit ribosomal RNA", at positions 1319 to 1500 of the family's 1533-position model. The record is from RNAcentral.